Molecule: non-coding RNA, 169 nt
Organism: Roseburia intestinalis XB6B4
Lineage: Bacteria; Bacillati; Bacillota; Clostridia; Lachnospirales; Lachnospiraceae
Source: Rfam
UUUGGGAGAAAAUUAGAAAAUCUUAGUCUGCCUGUCUAUCCACAGUGAUGUUCUGCCACGGAUGGCAGAACAAGGCUUCUCGAGCCAAGGAUGGCUCGUUGAACGCCGUUCACGUCACUCCGAGAAAAAGUAAAACAGGCAGGCUUAGCUUUUCUUAUUUUCGGACAAC